GCUGGGAGUGGUGGUGCACGCCUGCAGUCCCAGCUACUUGGGAGGCUGAGGCAGGAGGAUCACCUGAGCCCGGGAAGUCGAGGGUGCAGUGAGCCAUGAUGGUGACACUGUACUCCAGCCUGGGUGACAAAGUGAGAUCCUGUCUCAG
This is an unclassified non-coding RNA of Pongo abelii (Sumatran orangutan), 148 nucleotides long. It matches the Rfam family "Metazoan signal recognition particle RNA". Rfam says of the family: The signal recognition particle (SRP) is a universally conserved ribonucleoprotein. It is involved in the co-translational targeting of proteins to membranes. Lineage: Eukaryota; Metazoa; Chordata; Mammalia; Primates; Hominidae. The record is from Ensembl.